UAAUUGGGGUGAGUAUAAAGAGGAAUUAGGAACCCUGAAUGUACUCCUUAUUUAAAGAUAUGCAGUAUCCUUUUUGCAAAUGAUAUCCUUUUAAAAGUAUCACUCAAAUUUCUAAACUUUAUCUUAAUACCUGUCACAUAUUAUAGUCUUGAAUUGGAAUUUUGGUUGAAUUACAAGGAAUUUAAGUAUCAGUCUUCAUCAUAAAGAAAUUUAAGAUGAAUAAAUUGAAGAAAAUACUAAAAUAAUUUAAGAAGGAAAUGAUAUUUCUUUGUUUAAAAAUAACAGGCAAAGGUUUAUAUGGAGCUUGUUUGUAAUACAUCAUUAUUUUCUAAUCUUUGUGUUUUUCUCCCAAAUUUUUAUAGCCUAUAUUCAAAGGAAUUAGGCUUAUCAAAGCUGUUUUUAUAAUUUUGUAUUAUGAAAUGCCUACUAUAAUUAGAAUAAAAUUGAUUGACUUGAAAGGGAACCCUUUUUUCCCCAUUAAUUCAAAACCCUUUGACGAGUAAAAAUGGCCGUAUAUUGUUAUCUAUAGCCGUGUUAAACCAUGGCCUCAGAUUCACUGCAGCUCUCCUCUUAAUAUGUAGACAAGUAGUACCUCUUUUUUGUUGUAAUGCUUAGUUCAUAGUAUGCUCUUAUUUGAAUUCUUUUUGCCUCUACCUAGGAACUUAAUGAGGUUAGACUUUAUCAAAUAUAAGUAUCUGGAAAGAGCUACUGAUUUUAUGUUGUUCUAUGAACCAGUUACUACUUUAAAAUAAGUUAGCCAACAAUAAAAGGAUUCCUUUAGUAGCUCAUGUUCUUUGUUUGCAUUAGUGAAUAAUGAAGUCUAGAAAGAAUUGUUUUAAAUUGCUUUUUUUACAGUUCCAAUCAUUUUUUUAUUUGAGAAAAUUUGAAUCUCAAAACAAAAAUUUUCUUCAAUGUUUAAUACAUCAUAUCAAGGUAUUGUAUUUACUUUUUUUCACUAAUGAGCAGAUUUUAGAAAAUUCCUGUAACUACCGGGGGGCACUGCUGUUAACUUUUUUCGAUUAAUUUGGUUAAGCCACUAUGCUUCCUCCUCAGGAAAUUAAAAUGAGUUUAAUUUAAUCUGUGCUUUCCUGGCAUAAGGAGGUGUGGGAUUUCUGCUGCUUAAUUAUUUUGUGGCCCCUAGCUCUAAGUCCUUGCACAAGUGGGAUAUAUUUUGAAUAUUGACCAUCUAGCUUGAUGUCUCAUACGAAAAGAUAUUUUUUACACAGUUUUUAAUAUUUCCAUAGUUUAUUUUCAAAGGGACUGUAAUGCAUAUUACUUAUUAAAAGCAUUUUUUCCCCCAACUUUGAUGGGGAAAAGCAUAUCAACAGAUACCUACUUUUGUAGAUGGCUAUAAAAAUUGUUACCCAAAAGGCUUUCUUAGAGCAAAUUGUCUGUCAUGAUUUUCCCUGCCUGCCUCCAUGGGACUGUCUAUUGUUGGAGGGAACAGCAAACAUCCAUAAGACGUUUUUUUUUUGUGGCUAUAACAUUCAGGAUAGAAUUGUCUGUCAUUUACUGCUUAAAUUGAUAUUUUGUAUACUUAGGGAUUAUGAAAAAAGUUUGUGUUAAUAUUGCAUUAUUAAAGCACAUGUUUAAAGAUAAUUAUUAGAUUUUAAGUUCACAAUGCUUCAUGUAUUGUUUAUUCCUGUGAUUUUAUUUUUACUUUAGGGAUUUAUUCUUCAUUGCCUGUUGAAGUUCCUCUGAAUCACAGACGGUUUGUUUGUGAUCUAACUCAAGCUGAUCGUCUUGCCCUCUAUGAUUUCGUAGUUGAGGAGACAAAGAAAAAGCGCUCUGAUUCUCAAAUUGUUGAAAAUGACAGCGAUCUCUUUGUAGACUUGGCUGCCAAAAUCAACCAAGAUAAUAGUCGAAAAAGUCCAAAAUCCUACCUUGAAAUCCUGGCAGAAGUAAGAGAUUAUAAAAGAAGACGCCAGUCCUAUAGAGCCAAGAAUGUCCACAUAACCAAGAAAUCAUAUACUGAGGUGAUUCGAGAUGUGAUAAAUGUGCACAUGGAAGAACUCAGCAAUCAUUGGCGAGAAGAGCAAGAGAAGGCAGAGGAUGAUACUGAAAAGAAUGAAGAAAGGCGAUCAGCUUCGGUAGAUUCACGGCAGUCUGGUGGAAGCUAUUUGGAUGCUGAGUGUUCACGACAUAGAAGGGAUAGGAGUAGAAGCCCACAUAAAAGAAAAAGAAAUAAGGAUAAAAACUGUGAGUCGAGAAGAAGGAAAGAGAGGGAUGGGGAAAGACACCAUAGUCAUAAAAGAAGAAAGCAAAAAAUAUAAAUGAAGUACUUGUACCUAUAUUAAUUAUGCUUAUGCCAUGAUAACCAAUAUACAGAUAUAUUAAUUGGAAUUCCUUUGCAUAGGAGAAUGUUUUUAUGAUCUGUUUAGUGCUUAUUAUUUUCCAAUAAAUAUGCUUCAAACCAUGAGUACACUAUUAGGCCCUACAACUUUGUUUUCCUUAUAUUCUGUUAGAUGAUUUGCUUCCUAUAACUCAUCUUGUUUUGUUCUUUUUGCUAAUAGAUGUAUCUCAAAAAUUCUUUAAUUAAGUCAAUAUUUAUCAUAUGUAAAUUAAACAUGAAUACAUUCUC
RNAcentral lists this small RNA (2581 nucleotides) under Pongo abelii (Sumatran orangutan). Its description in RNAcentral is "retained intron". Lineage: Eukaryota; Metazoa; Chordata; Mammalia; Primates; Hominidae. The record is from RNAcentral.